This 78-nucleotide small nucleolar RNA is filed under the name Sorghum bicolor (sorghum). RNAcentral's name for it is "snoRNA snoR160". It matches the Rfam family "Small nucleolar RNA R160". From Rfam's summary of the family: snoR160 is a C/D box small nucleolar RNA, which acts as a methylation guide for 25S ribosomal RNA in plants. snoR160 has been alternatively named snoZ270 in rice. Lineage: Eukaryota; Viridiplantae; Streptophyta; Magnoliopsida; Poales; Poaceae. The record is from Rfam by way of RNAcentral.
AGCAAAAUGAGGAGGUCAUAUGAUCUGAAGUGUGAUGUUGAUACACCCAUCCAUGGUCUUCAAAGUUCUCUGAUUGCU